RNAcentral lists this unclassified non-coding RNA (471 nucleotides) under Hevea brasiliensis (rubber tree). The record is from RNAcentral. Lineage: Eukaryota; Viridiplantae; Streptophyta; Magnoliopsida; Malpighiales; Euphorbiaceae.
GGAAAUUUGGGUUUGUCUUGAUAUAGUUAACGAGAAAGGAGGAUUAUGGAGUUGCUGUGGUUUAUCAAGAAACAGCAGUGAAGUGUAGGACUGUACGUGAGGUAUUUUGGUAAAGUUAAGAGGAAGUUGCAAUUGAGCUUUGAGGGCUCAAAGUAAAAUGGCUUACCAGAGGAAGGGAUCUGAUCUGCAGCCGCAGAGGCGUAUUCUGCGGACACAGACUGCUGGUAAUUUAGGGGAGUCAAUGAUGGACAGUGAAGUAGUACCAUCAUCUCUAAGUGAAAUUGCACCCAUUCUUCGUGUUGCCAAUGAGGUCGAGCCCAGCAAUCCCAGGGUAGCUUAUCUAUGUCGAUUCUAUGCCUUUGAAAAAGCUCACAGGUUAGAUCCAACAUCAAGUGGACGUGGAGUUCGCCAGUUCAAAACUUCCCUUCUUCAACGGUUAGAAAAGGAAAAUGAGACGACCCUAGCUGGAAG